AGUUCAGAAGAGGAAGCAAACUUUUACGCCAGGAUCUCGUAGUAGCGUGGCUGGUCUCGUCCCAAAGCUAAAAUACAAGGCCGGUGUUUUAUCGAUGUGAAGAGAGCGAGAGACCACACCACAGUGCAGUGUUCAACCGCUUUGGAGCAUCGAGUGGGAGCUUUACGUGCGGGGAGUGAACGAGGCGGAAGCUCUUCGAUUCCCUCACUUCCCUCCCUUUUGUUCUCUCGCCUCUUUCGAACCCUAGAAAAUAACUGAGGAUCCUCUUUUCCACUUCUGCUCCCAACUUUGUGAAUCUUCAUGCUUCGGAGGAUGCGCGUCUGCUCUAUUCUGGGCCCGUUUCGACCCUGAAUUGACGUCGUAUUGCGGUUGCCACAGCUUUUCAGGUUGUCUGAGGACGCCAGCAUUGGAUGGGUUCGCCAACGAGGAGGCUCCUUGCUGUGCCUUCUGUGCUGGAUAAAAUCUAGGUCGUUAGUCGGGUUAGAGAAGCUUCGUGGCUUACAUUGGAAUUGACGUUUUUGCUCGAUUAGGAUUCGAAACUCUUGGAUGUGGAGCUUCUUCGGUUUAAGCUCGUUCUUCAAGUUUAGCUGUUGGUAAUUUUUUGGUUGCAACUACUGUUAUGAUUGGCGAGCCCUAGUGCUUGUGAGGUAAAAAUAAUCUUGUUGGCUUCUGAGCGAGUUGGACUUGACUAUCCGCUGCUUGUCUGUUAUUGGUGAACAUAGUCUUGGCCUGCAGAGUGAGCUUCUGUGGAGCGGCUGGAGUGAGCAGAGAAAUUAAGGACUGGAAGAGAGAUGAAGUGGACAUGAGUAGGUUGUCAAUCCGGCCCCGUCCUCUUGACAUUCAUAAGAAGCUUCCCGUCAUAAAAUCUGCUAAGGAAUUUGAGGAUGAUGAAGCACUCACUAUCGCCCCUUCCACUCGAAACUCACCAUUGCAUCGUGCUGCUAAUGAGAAUGACAGUGAGACAAUUCCAACUCCUGGCAAGAAGAUUUCACAAGAAAUUCCUACUCCACAAUUCAACAUUGUGGAUACAUAUGAAAUAGAUUAUUCUCGCACGUUUGCACAGACCGCCUCUUAUAUACGUGGAAGAGGAGCUAGGGCUGAGAUUUGUGAAUCUGUUGAGUAUGACCUUGAUAAUGAGGAUGAGGAUUGGCUUGAAGAGAUUAACCGGGAGAGGAAGAUUCUUUCAUCAGAAAAGUCACUUGUGAAUUGCACAUUGCUGUUCUAACUACAGAAUCAAAUUUAUAUGAUGGUCUGUUUCCAUUCUUUGGGUUGAGACCCUUCUCUUCAAACUGGAGAUUUUGGAUCAUAAAGCCAGAGAAAGAGCAGGGAUUAUAACACCCACGUUUAGUUCUCCUGUUCCUGUUUAUUUGCAGCUUGAUGCUGCAGCUGAGGCUUUUAAUUCUCCAUCUGUGCAGCCUGCAGUUUUGCAAUUACUAUAUAAUUAUUGGAAAGAAAAGCGAGAAAGGUGGCAAAAACCUAUUCUACGCAGGUUGCAGCCUCCUCCCCCAAUUAAUGAUACAAAUCCGUACAAUGUGUUCAGACCCAGGGAAAAGGCACAUCGUCUUCACCCAAGAAGAGUAAGUCUGAUACCAAGGUGCAUACUUUAGUGGAUGUUUACUUUCAAACGUGUCAAGAGGAUUGACACAUCAUUUAAAUUGGCUAUUAUUUUCUUGAACUAAUGAAUUCUUUCUUUCUCAGAUGCAGAGGAGGGAAAAUAAUGUCCAAUCCUUUGAAAAACUGCAUCAAGUAAAUCUGUUAGCUCAUCUAAAGUGUACCUUUCAAUCAUUUUCUACAAUUAAGGCAUGACUAGUGAUAUCUAUCCAGUCUUGCAUGCCAUCCUAAUGCUCCUAAAUAGCCUUUUGAUUUGAAUACUCAUUUCACCCAACCUUAAGCCACACAUUUUUGUUUUGUAAGCCAUGCUCUUUGCAAUCCAUAAUGCAUAUUUGAGGUUCCUUAAAAAUGCACGUGAGUGAAGCAACACUAGUAAUCCCUCCUAGAUAUGAGUCAGAUUUUGUAUAUACUUCUGCAACAUAAAUUCAUGGAAGACAUUAUGAAUUCAUUUACAGAAUGUGGAAAUGCAGGCCAGCAGGCCACUAGAUAAACCGUCUCAAGAAACUCUUUCAACAAAUAAAUCUAAGAGUCAACUUUUCUGAGAUUGAAUUUCCCUAAUCGCUUGAAUUCUAAUGCAUGGUUUCUUUGAUCUGUAAAAUUCUUCUGGCAACUUUGGGCAACUAAUAAUCUCUAUCCAAGCAUCUGCACUAACUCUGGGUAGUUUGAACUGAUUGAGGACCUAACAUUUCCAUUAAUUUCAUCCCAAAGCAUAAGAGGUCAGCAAGCUAUCCUCUAUUAUGUCUCCAAUAGUGUCAUCUGAAUUGGUGAGUGAUAAAUUAUUAUUAUAUACAAACUCCACUAAAUACAACAACUUCUUCCACCACCACCAAAAUCCACAAGAAUAGGUUCUCAAUCGUCUGAAUAAUGUCUUCUAGUUGACUGAUUUCUAUGGGUUGAAGGCAAUACUGAAUCUAGGAUUUGUACCAAAACCUAUAGCCAACUAUUCAAAAAAUGAAAUGGAUGAACUGCAUGUGAAAAUGAUAAGGGAAAUAUUGUAGGGUUUGAUGACCUCUCAAUAGAAAGUCUUUACUAGUUGAUCAGUGGAUCAAUUUUGCUGAUGAGAAAAGAUGAGUCAGCUUGGUCUGGCGAUCGACCACAACUCAAGUUGAAUUAUACCCUUUUUCUGGGUAAUUCAUCCAUCUCUUACGAUCUGACUAAUCUUGGAGGUUAGCCCCACGGAAGUUUACCACUGGCCACCAUUGUAAAUCGGGAAGCACUGAUGAGAGUCUUGGCGAACAACCCAGCAUUGUAAGUUUUUCAAACCCCCCAGGUGUAAUGUGUUCCGGGUGAGAUUCGAACACUUGUUGCCUUGGAGCCUGUCCCACCUCUUACUAUCGCACCAAAGCCUCAAGGGCGAUUGUAUCCUUUUUUUUAUUAGUAAAGUGCAUCAUGUUAUGCUGACACAUUAGGCAUCACUCUAUAAAAUUAGCAAUCUCCCUCAUGUUAUGCCUCAACAUGAUCCAUUGAGAUUGUUUGCAUCUACUGUUUAAGUGCACACUAUUAAAUGUGAACGAGAUGCUUACAUCAUAAGUCCAUCCUUAACAAGGUGAAACUCCUGAAUACCCAACUUGGCUUUGAACCUUAAAAUAUCGUAAACAUUAUGAGAGAUUCUAGUUUUGAACCUUGGCAUACCCUUUAGCAAUUAUCUAGAAGUAGUUGUUCUCUAUCUAGCAUCCUCUCGUUGAGACUAAGCCAUAAAUAAAGUCAACAUGUUGAAUAGAGUUUGCUCAACCUCAACUAAAUCCAGUUCGAAAACUAAUGAGCUGACUUAGUGACUACUACUUUGAUGUGUGCUACCAUUCAUCUUGAUAUCCUACUCAGUCUACAAUGAUAUUUUCCAAAUGGUAGCUAAUGGGCAGUUGUAGUCCUCCGAGAGCUCAAUUCCCUUCUCUAAUUCAUUAUUAACUUUUCUAAGUGAUGAUAGACUUUAACCUUUUCUGGUCAGUGAACUUCAAGGUGAAUUUGAGAUAUUGACCGUAGAUCUUUUAUAGCAAGGUCAAUGAUCGCAAACCCUAGAUUACGAAUAGAGUAUUCUACUCAUUACUUCUUGAGUUGGCUAGAAGCAUAGGCAGUUCACUCUCAUGCUACAUCACUUUACCUUCAACCCUUUGAUUGACAUAUUCAUGCAAAGGAUGAAAGCACUUGCUCUUGGGACUUACUCUUGCAUGCCACACAUAAAUUAUGAUAAUAACCAUAUAUGUUUAUUUUAUAUUUGUUGCCUCAUCCCAAGCCAAUCCGCAUGAGAAGCAAAGUUAGGAUGAGGAAAAAUAAUUCCCUCCCACAACCCAUCCUGUCCUGCCCCCACCACAUUGGCAUCCCAACUUCAUCAUCCAUCUAUACUGGAAUCAAUCACUAGAUCACCACUAGCAUUGGGUCUAUCCACGAUGACUAAUUAAAUGAAAUUACUCUUGUGACCAACCUAUACUAGUUGACUUGCUUAACUUGACCAAUUUACCAAGCUCUAACUAGUUCGACCUUAAUUUGAACACAUUAGUUUCAAUUUAAACCUGGCUUGAGCUCAAAAUCCACCUAACCUAGAUUAACCCAAAUCUAACUCAUUACACACGCCAACCACAAUACACUUUAAGAUCUCAAAUUAGUAAAAAUUUCAUAUUAUACAUAAGAUUAAAUUAAAUAAAAAUAUAGGUAUAGUGUACCAUGCUAGGGAAUGUGAAUAACAAUUACCAUUUUAAAUUCGUACCUAAUCUACCAAUGAUAUGAGAUCCCUAAGGACUUAAGUCAAGAGUCCAUGUAAUAAACGAGCAGCAUAAUCAUGAGUGAACUAUGUUGUGUUUAGCUAAGUUAAAUUCAGCAAGGGCUUUCUUCAAUUUACUAAGCAUAUUGUUCUUUUAUAUGUAUACAUACAUAAGGGAGAUGACAGUAAAAGUUUGUUUACACCACAAAAUUUUACUAACUAGGAUAUGCAAUGUAACUAUUGAAACAUGAUAAUUUGGGUAAUACACCAAGACAUGUUAAUUGAUAUAUGUAUAAUGUAUGUAUUGGUAACAUUAAUAUAAACACACUGGAAUAGCACCAAAUUUAGUAGAUAGAUAUGAAGGAAAGCUACUAUGACAUGAUGGUCAAAUCAAUUUGUUAGGGAUGAAUUAGACAUCUGUCAAACUUCAUCAAUUUUAAUGGUUCGCUGAGGUUGAGAAAAGACAGCAAUUGAAAAGUUUUCCUUUAUUAUGUUUUAUUUUUUUUACCACUAAUCAUUGUACUUUUUGUUCUCUAUGAUUGUAGUGAUCAUACAUUGGAUCUAUUCAUCCAUGGUAACCAAUUUUAUCACCUGCAAGAUAUCUUUGCAAAAUUCAAAAGCCUAGCAUUUUAUUUGUGGCUUGUGCACUAUAGAUUAAUAAUAGUUAUUAAUUAGGCCCAUAUACUCAUAGUUAUCAGAACCAGACCUAAAAUUGAAUCGGAAAAGUUUUGGUCACUGGUUCACUGUGGUCCAUUGGCCUAAUUGCAUUGGACAAGUUUUAGGUGGCUGGUUCACUAGACCAAGUGGCUUAAUUGGUUUAAUUGAAUAUCGAACAAGAAAUCAAUUGUCAACCUAACUAAUAUAAAAUAUCUUAUUUCUAGAAUAAAAUAAAUAUUGACAGAAACACUAAAAAUGUAACUAUAUCUAUAUAAAAAAGAUCAUGACUAACAAUUAGAUAUAAAAAUUCAAGUAUUGAUACUGGUGAAGACAACUUGAUAGAGGAAUCGCUAGUACGAUCCUCACUACUCAGCAUAAACGACUGUGCAAAAGAGGUUGAGGGAAUAACAGAGAAUGUCAUGUUGGGUUUAAAAAUUAAGGUUUUGGGGCUACUAACAAAUUGGGCUGCGUUUGAUCAAACUAGUGGACUGAACUAGUUUUUGACUGGUUUGAUUGCUUGUCUAAUCCAAUUAACCAAGCAGAACGAAUAUGGACUGGGCCCAGGUUUUUCUAGUCAGACUGGCUGAUCUUGUUUGUCUGGGUUUAAUAACAUUGCUUUUAAUGAUUGAACCCCUUUUCAAAUUUUCAACAGUGACAGCAUAAAAGGAUUAAAUCUAGUAGUAGUUGUAAGCUAUGUUAUUCAGAUUCAAAUAUGAGUGUGGACGCAAGUGUUCAAUAUGGGAAUUUUUAUAAAUUUUUAUGUGAUCAAUAGGAACGUAAGGUGUUUCUUGGAGUGCUGGUCUCCAGCUGAGUGUUGAACAUGGGUUUGGAGGGGACAGAUGGAGUCCCCUAUAUAGGUUAUAGGUGAAAAAUCACUGUCCAAUACCGUGUAGCUAACUCAUCUGUGGCACUGCUGUUGACUAUUUACUAAUAAGGCAAGAAAAGGUGGUUCAGUCUAUUUUUUAAUGUUAUUGCCCUUUCAAAUUUAUUUCUUCAGGUUAGACGUAGCUUGAACCAUGCUAAGAGAGUAGUGGGAGCUCUGAUUCAGAGGGAAGAGAAGAAGCAUGAUCUCAUUGAGUGCGAAAUCAACCUUCAACGUCUCCAGCUGAAAUACAAGCAUGAGGCAAAGCUUAUUGAAGAACGAAUAAUGUUGUCAGUCUUGCAACAAGGUUCAUGCAAGUUUGCAUCAAGUGGAGAUGAUUAUAGUUAUUCAGAUGAUACAGAGAAUGACAACCCACAUGCUGGUCCUGCCUAUUUCCAUUGUAAAAAAGUGGACUCCAAGCAUUUAAUGGUCCCCAGUGCCCAAAUAAAGCCGGAGUUAAAGAUAAGACAUGUAUCAAACAGAUGGCUGCAGAUGCAGGAUCAUGAUGAACCUAUGUUGUUGUUCACUAGGCCUCUGGAUCCAACCAGGCUUGCAGCUGUAGGCAUAAAGCUUCCGCCUUGUCCUCCUUCAGAGGAUGGCUUGAUUGUACCAGCUUUUCGCUUCCACAGCAGGGUUGGACGUGGAGGACGGGUUAUUUUUGACCGUUGCAAUCCCAUUUUACGAACUCCUCUUCCUAAGAGCUAUUGAUGACUAUAACUUCUCGUAUACCAAAUCCGAAGGUCCUAAGCUAGUGUCAUUUCACUUUGGUUGCAUGAUGUAUUGUGAAAAUCAAGGGGUUAUGAUCAAUUAAUCAAGAUUAGUCCGUAGAAGGGUCUUAAAUCAUGUCAUCUCGAGCUUGCUGGUUAGAAUGGUCAUUUGAGCCAGCAAGUACAGAAGAUUCUUCACGAAGUGAGGUAGUGUUGUACACGUUAAGUUCGUUGAUCAUUUUUCAUUGGGUGUUAGUGAUACUCUUGUUGCUCAUGUAUGAUUGUUUCGGGCACAGGUGAGCCUGUUAGGCAAGUGUAAGUCUAAAUAUUUGCUCAUUCAGUGUCUGAAUAUUCAAUUUGGUUGUUAGUAGACUUGACCAUGAGUCAGGUCCGGUUCGGAUCUGGCCUGAAUAUGUACUCGGGUUAACGGGUAACCACGAGCUGGUUACAAAUCUAGCUCAUUUUUAACUAGUUCAAA
Zingiber officinale is the source of this 7010-nucleotide RNA transcript. RefSeq lists it as uncharacterized. NCBI's taxonomy places the organism in Eukaryota, Viridiplantae, Streptophyta, Magnoliopsida, Zingiberales, Zingiberaceae. The transcript is spliced from 11 exons. The record is from RefSeq and is a predicted model, not a curated record.